UACGUAGGGUGCAAGCGUUGUCCGGAAUUAUUGGGCGUAAAGAGCUCGUAGGCGGUCUGUCGCGUCUGCUGUGAAAAUCCAGGGCUCAACCCUGGACCUGCAGUGGGUACGGGCAGACUAGAGUGCGGUAGGGGAGAUCGGAAUUCCUGGUGUAGCGGUGAAAUGCGCAGAUAUCAGGAGGAACACCGGUGGCGAAGGCGGAACUCUGGGCCGUAACUGACGCUGAGGAGCGAAAGCAUGGGGAGCGAACAGG
RNAcentral lists this ribosomal RNA (253 nucleotides) under uncultured bacterium. RNAcentral's name for it is "partial 16S ribosomal RNA". It matches the Rfam family "Bacterial small subunit ribosomal RNA", at positions 524 to 776 of the family's 1533-position model. The record is from RNAcentral.